GAUGAACGCUGGCGGCGUGCCUAAUACAUGCAAGUCGAACGGUCGGUUUCGGCCGAUAGUGGCGAACGGGUGAGUAACGCGUUGGUGACCUGCCCCGAAGAGCGGGAUAACAGACCGAAAGGUUUGCUAAUACCGCAUGUGCUGGUAGAGGACUAGAGCUUUACCAGGAAAGGGAGAAAUCCGCUUUGGGAGGGGCCUGCGUCCCAUCAGCUAGUUGGUAAGGUAACGGCUUACCAAGGCGAUGACGGGUAGGGGACCUGAGAGGGUGACCCCCCACAAUGGAACUGAAACACGGUCCAUACACCUACGGGUGGCUG
RNAcentral lists this ribosomal RNA (317 nucleotides) under uncultured Chloroflexota bacterium. RNAcentral describes it as "bacterial SSU rRNA". It matches the Rfam family "Bacterial small subunit ribosomal RNA", at positions 28 to 351 of the family's 1533-position model. Lineage: Bacteria; Bacillati; Chloroflexota. The record is from RNAcentral.